RNAcentral lists this unclassified non-coding RNA (879 nucleotides) under Hevea brasiliensis (rubber tree). Lineage: Eukaryota; Viridiplantae; Streptophyta; Magnoliopsida; Malpighiales; Euphorbiaceae. The record is from RNAcentral.
GUUCUUUUCAUGGGAUGAAGGUGCUUGCUAUGCCCCUAAGGAGAUAUGGAACAGCAUGAUGUUGGUUCAUUGGGGUAAUACAAACUCAAAGCAUAACCAUUCAACAACAGCAUAUUGGGGUGAUAAUUGGGAUCCAAUUUCCUCAGAUAGAAGAGGAAACCACACAUGUUUUGACCCUGACAAAGAUCUCGUACUUCCUGCUUGGAAACGACCUGAUGAAAGUUCUCUAAGUGCUAAACAUUGGUCCAGACCUCGUGAGGAGCGGAAAACAUUCUUCUAUUUUAAUGGAAAUCUUGGACCAGCUUAUGAAAAUGGAAGACCAGAAGAUACGUAUAGUAUGGGUAUAAGGCAAAAAGUGGCUGAAGAAUUUGGAUCAACCCUUAACAAGGAAGGCAAGCUUGGCAAGCAACAUGCAGAAGAUGUGAUAGUGACACCACUACGUGCUGGGAACUACCAUGAUGAAUUGGCAAGUUCCGUCUUUUGUGGGGUUAUGCCUGGGGAUGGUUGGAGUGGAAGAAUGGAAGAUAGUAUUUUGCAAGGAUGCAUUCCUGUGGUGAUUCAGGAUGGGAUAUACCUACCAUAUGAGAAUUUUCUCAACUAUGAAAGUUUUGCAGUUAGGAUACGUGAAGAUGAAAUACCUUAUCUGUUAAACAUUCUUCGGAGUUUUAAUGAAACAGAAAUAAAAUUCAAAUUGGAAAAUGUGAAGAAAAUCUGGCAGAGAUUUUUGUAUCGCGAUUCAGUUGUGCUUGAAGCUGAGAGACAAAAGGCAAUACGUGGGAGUGUUGAGGACUGGGGCCUAAAGUUUUUGCAGCUAGAGGAAGAUGAUGUCUUUGCCACAUUCAUACAGGUGCUGCAUUACAAGUUGCAUAAUGAUACUUG